This 251-nucleotide ribosomal RNA is filed under the name uncultured Lactobacillus sp. RNAcentral's name for it is "partial 16S ribosomal RNA". It matches the Rfam family "Bacterial small subunit ribosomal RNA", at positions 111 to 355 of the family's 1533-position model. The record is from RNAcentral. Lineage: Bacteria; Bacillati; Bacillota; Bacilli; Lactobacillales; Lactobacillaceae.
UAACACUGGGGAACCUGCCCCAUAGUCUGGGAUACCACUUGGAAACAGGUGCUAAUACCGGAUAAGAAAGCGGAUCGCAUGAUCAGCUUUUAAAAGGCGGCGUAAGCUGUCGCUAUGGGAUGGCCCCGCGGUGCAUUAGCUAGUUGGUAAGGUAAAGGCUUACCAAGGCGAUGAUGCAUAGCCGAGUUUAGAGACUGAUCGGCCACAUUGGGACUGAGACACGGCCCAAACUCCUACGGGAGGCAGCAGCA